GCUGGGCAUGGUGGCACAUGCCUGUAAUCCCACCUACUUGGGAGGCUGAGGCAGGAGACUUGCUUGAGCCCAGGAGGCAGGGGUUACAGUGAGCUGAGAUCACGCCACUGCACUCCAGCCUGGGUGACAGAAUGAGACUCUGUCUCAU
Unclassified non-coding RNA from Callithrix jacchus (white-tufted-ear marmoset), 148 nucleotides. It matches the Rfam family "Metazoan signal recognition particle RNA". Rfam says of the family: The signal recognition particle (SRP) is a universally conserved ribonucleoprotein. It is involved in the co-translational targeting of proteins to membranes. The eukaryotic SRP consists of a 300-nucleotide 7S RNA and six proteins: SRPs 72, 68, 54, 19, 14, and 9. Lineage: Eukaryota; Metazoa; Chordata; Mammalia; Primates; Cebidae. The record is from Ensembl.